ACCAGCGGGCCGCCCCUGGCCCGGGGAAGUCCUCUUUUGCGAUUCAUUCUCCCCGGGGGACCGCUCGCCGUCGGUGUUAGAGCGCGGGGGCGGGGGCGGGGCAGAGAGACGGAUGCCGGAGGGACAGGUGGACGGGCUGCCUCCCGCCCGCGCCGGAGCCGGAGCCGGAGCCGGAGCCGGAGCCGGAGCCGCCGGGGCUGGAAGCGAUCCCGGUGAAGAAAAUGUUCCAUGUGCACUGAAAAGAAGGCAUAUUCUGCUGUUUGGGGUGAAAUGCUCUAAAGAUAUCAAUUAGAUCCAUCUGACCUGGUGUGCCAGGUGAGGAUUAACAACAACAACAACAAAAAGCUGUGGGACAUUUACACAUGGA
This is a long non-coding RNA of Myotis myotis, 367 nucleotides long. RefSeq lists it as uncharacterized. Lineage: Eukaryota; Metazoa; Chordata; Mammalia; Chiroptera; Vespertilionidae. The transcript is spliced from 3 exons. The record is from RefSeq and is a predicted model, not a curated record.